This 279-nucleotide ribosomal RNA is filed under the name Heerz ecmahla. Its description in RNAcentral is "partial 28S ribosomal RNA". The record is from RNAcentral. Lineage: Eukaryota; Metazoa; Arthropoda; Insecta; Hymenoptera; Braconidae.
GCACUUUGUAUAUGUAUGAGUUAUGAUGCGGGUUACUCNUUGUAGUAUUGCUUGCACAUAUUUGUACAUUUAUUUGCAAGGUGUUGUCGGCGUGCACUUCUCCCCUAGUAGGACAUCGCGACCCGUUGGGUGUUGGUCUACGACCCGAGUNGGUAGUCUCNUAAUGUUUUNAAAACAUUAAAGACCCUUGGUGUUUUCUGACUGGCUGCCCGGCGGUACUCGUACGGUAUUUAGCCGCACUUUAUNGUGCGUCCAUUCCCGUCGCAAGCGAGGUUAGUU